AAAUUGAAGAGUUUGAUCAUGGCUCAGAUUGAACGCUGGCGGCAGGCCUAACACAUGCAAGUCGAACGGUAGCACAGAGAGCUUGCUCUCGGGUGACGAGUGGCGGACGGGUGAGUAAUGUCUGGGAAACUGCCUGAUGGAGGGGGAUAACUACUGGAAACGGUAGCUAAUACCGCAUAACGUCGCAAGACCAAAGAGGGGGACCUUCGGGCCUCUUGCCAUCAGAUGUGCCCAGAUGGGAUUAGCUAGUAGGUGGGGUAACGGCUCACCUAGGCGACGAUCCCUAGCUGGUCUGAGAGGAUGACCAG
RNAcentral lists this ribosomal RNA (308 nucleotides) under Enterobacter cloacae. RNAcentral's name for it is "bacterial SSU rRNA". It matches the Rfam family "Bacterial small subunit ribosomal RNA", at positions 1 to 307 of the family's 1533-position model. The record is from RNAcentral. Lineage: Bacteria; Pseudomonadati; Pseudomonadota; Gammaproteobacteria; Enterobacterales; Enterobacteriaceae. RNAcentral also lists the same sequence under 1 other name.